UGGGGAAUAUUGCACAAUGGGCGAAAGCCUGAUGCAGCAACGCCGCGUGAGUGAUGAAGGUCUUCGGAUUGUAAAGCUCUGUCUUUUGGGACGAUAAUGACGGUACCAAAGGAGGAAGCCACGGCUAACUACGUGCCAGCAGCCGCGGUAAUACGUAGGUGGCGAGCGUUGUCCGGAUUUACUGGGCGUAAAGGUGCGUAGGCGGAUGUUUAAGUGAGAUGUGAAAUACCCGGGCUUAACUUGGGUGCUGCAUUUCAAACUGGAUAUCUAGAGUGCAGGAGAGGAGAAUGGAAUUCCUAGUGUAGCGGUGAAAUGCGUAGAGAUUAGGAAGAACACCAGUGGCGAAGGCGAUUCUCUGGACUGUAACUGACGCUGAGGCACGAAAGCGUGGGUAGCAAACAGGAUUAGAUACCCUGGUAGUCCACGCCGUAAAACGAUGAGUACUAGGUGUAGGAGGUAUCGACCCCUUCUGUGCCGCAGUAAACACAUUAAGUACUCCGCCUGGGAAGUACGAUCGCAAGAUUAAAACUCUAAAGUGAAUU
This 542-nucleotide ribosomal RNA is filed under the name uncultured bacterium. Its description in RNAcentral is "partial 16S ribosomal RNA". It matches the Rfam family "Bacterial small subunit ribosomal RNA", at positions 355 to 911 of the family's 1533-position model. The record is from RNAcentral.